Molecule: ribosomal RNA, 544 nt
Filed under: uncultured Glomeromycotina
Lineage: Eukaryota; Fungi; Glomeromycota
Description: SSU rRNA
Rfam family: Eukaryotic small subunit ribosomal RNA
Source: RNAcentral
GAGGGCAAGUCUGGUGCCAGCAGCCGCGGUAAUUCCAGCUCCAAUAGCGUAUAUUAAAGUUGUUGCAGUUAGAUAGCUCGUAGUUGAAUUUCGGGAUUCUACCGUUGGUCGGGCUAACAAGUCUGUACUGGUGUGUAGAAUUUCUACCUUCUGGGGAACUAUCAUGUUAUUAAUUUAGCGUGGUGGGAAACCAGGACCUUUACCUUGAAAAAAUUAGAGUGUUCAAAGCAGGCUUACGUCUGAAUACAUUAGCAUGGAAUAAUAGAAUAGGACGGUGGUCCUGUUUUGUUGGUUUCUGAAUCACCGUAAUGAUUAAUAGGGAUAGUUGGGGGCAUUAGUAUUCAAUUGUCAGAGGUGAAAUUCUUGGAUUUAUUGAAGACUAACUUCUGCGAAAGCAUUUGCCAAGGAUGUUUUCAUUAAUCAAGAACGAAAGUUAGGGGAUCGAAGACGAUCAGAUACCGUCGUAGUCUUAACCAUAAACUAUGCCGACUAGGGAUCGGACGAUGUUAAAUUUUAUUGACUCGUUCGGCGCCUUACGGGAAAC